GGGGACGAUCGGUCUCGACGGAAUGCUCUUUACAAUACUGCAAGCCAAGUUUGAUACACACUUGUCAAAAGGGAUCAAAAAAUUAAAGCAAGGAAUUCAUUCCAAGCUCAACCUAACUACGCGGUCGCGUUUGCUUAAGUUGCGUCCUGAGAUUUGACUCUCGGUCGAAUCGAAAGGGUGUAAACCAAUCCGAGAUGCCGUAAUUAUUUUUGAUUGGAAAUAGUUACGAAAGACAUUCAAUUUUACCCUUAGCUAUCCUUUUAGCUGGUAAGGCAUAGGGGACAAAUAAAUAACUAAAUAAGCUUGUAGAAGUUUUGUAGAAAGUUUUUUCGGACGCGGGUUCGAUUCCCGCCGUCUCCACAA
Molecule: transfer-messenger RNA, 363 nt
Filed under: Patescibacteria group
Lineage: Bacteria
Also listed under: 3 other names
Description: UBA8517 sp000997405 Standard tmRNA
Rfam family: transfer-messenger RNA
About the family: Bacterial tmRNA, also known as 10Sa RNA or SsrA, is named for its dual tRNA and mRNA-like properties.
Source: RNAcentral